RNAcentral lists this ribosomal RNA (695 nucleotides) under uncultured bacterium. Its description in RNAcentral is "bacterial SSU rRNA". It matches the Rfam family "Bacterial small subunit ribosomal RNA", at positions 140 to 851 of the family's 1533-position model. The record is from RNAcentral.
GGGACAACAGUUGGAAACGACUGCUAAUACCGCAUAAGCCCACGGGUCGGCAUCGAGCAGAGGGAAAAGGAGCAAUCCGCUUUGAGAUGGCCUCGCGUCCGAUUAGCUAGUUGGUGAGGUAAUGGCCCACCAAGGCAACGAUCGGUAGCCGGACUGAGAGGUUGAACGGCCACAUUGGGACUGAGACACGGCCCAGACUCCUACGGGAGGCAGCAGUGGGGAAUAUUGCACAAUGGGGGAAACCCUGAUGCAGCGACGCCGCGUGGAGGAAGAAGGUCUUCGGAUUGUAAACUCCUGUUGUUGAGGAAGAUAAUGACGGUACCCAACAAGGAAGUGACGGCUAACUACGUGCCAGCAGCCGCGGUAAAACGUAGGUCACAAGCGUUGUCCGGAAUUACUGGGUGUAAAGGGAGCGCAGGCGGGAAGACAAGUUGGAAGUGAAAUCCAUGGGCUCAACCCAUGAACUGCUUUCAAAACUGUUUUUCUUGAGUAGUGCAGAGGUAGGCGGAAUUCCCGGUGUAGCGGUGGAAUGCGUAGAUAUCGGGAGGAACACCAGUGGCGAAGGCGGCCUACUGGGCACCAACUGACGCUGAGGCUCGAAAGUGUGGGUAGCAAACAGGAUUAGGUACCCUGGUAGUCCACACCGUAAACGAUGAUUACUAGGUGUUGGAGGAUUGACCCCUUCAGUGCCGCAG